RNAcentral lists this ribosomal RNA (349 nucleotides) under uncultured bacterium. Its description in RNAcentral is "bacterial SSU rRNA". It matches the Rfam family "Bacterial small subunit ribosomal RNA", at positions 917 to 1267 of the family's 1533-position model. The record is from RNAcentral.
GGGCCCGCACAAGCGGUGGAGCAUGUGGUUUAAUUCGAUGCAACGCGAAGAACCUUACCUACUCUUGACAUCCAGAGAAGCCAGCGGAGACGCAGGUGUGCCUUCGGGAACUCUGAGACAGGUGCUGCAUGGCUGUCGUCAGCUCGUGUUGUGAAAUGUUGGUUAAGUCCCGCAACGAGCGCAACCCUUAUCCUUGUUUGCCAGCGAGUAAUGUCGGGAACUCCAGGGAGACUGCCGGUGAUAAACCGGAGGAAGGUGGGGACGACGUCAAGUCAUCAUGGCCCUUACGAGUAGGGCUACACACGUGCUACAAUGGCUAGGACAGACGGCCGCAAACCCGCAGGGGGAG